RNAcentral lists this unclassified non-coding RNA (378 nucleotides) under soil metagenome. RNAcentral describes it as "partial contains 5.8S ribosomal RNA, internal transcribed spacer 2, and large subunit ribosomal RNA". The stretch from base 1 to 120 matches the Rfam family "5.8S ribosomal RNA", at positions 35 to 154 of the family's 154-position model. The record is from RNAcentral.
GAUGAAGAACGUAGCGAAGUGCGAUAAGUAAUGUGAAUUGCAGAAUUCCGUGAAUCAUCGAAUCUUUGAACGCAAAUUGCACUUUCUAGUAUUCCGGAGAGUAUGCCUGUUUGAGGGUCAGUGUAAUAAAUAAAUCGUGGUUGUUACCACCUUUCGUGGUGACGCUUCGGAAUUGAGUCCUCUUACCCUUCGGGUUAAGUGACUUAAAAUUUUUUCAUACGAUUUCGAAACGUAUUUAAUGUAUUAUGUACGUUCACGAAUAUCGAAUGUUUAUUAGGUGCGGUCAUUUUUCAUGAAUUCGCGUCUAUAAUUUUUUUUUUUUGACCUCAAAUCAGGUAAGAAUACCCGCUGAACUUAAGCAUAUCAAUAAGCGGAGGA